RNAcentral lists this long non-coding RNA (487 nucleotides) under Coffea arabica (coffee). RNAcentral describes it as "long non-coding RNA (CARA_LNC003137)". Lineage: Eukaryota; Viridiplantae; Streptophyta; Magnoliopsida; Gentianales; Rubiaceae. The record is from RNAcentral.
UGUCUAAUUACCUGUUCCAAACUAGUGUAGUCAUCAUCUAUCCUUGAAUAUUUCCUCUCAAGCCGUCUCCUCGAUUCCUGGGGUGGAGGUGCAGGUGCAUAAUUGUAACUUGGUUGAGGUGCAUAAUUGUAACUUGGUUGAGGGUACUGCGAGUGUGGACUGCCAUAAUUACCCCAUGAAUUUGAACUGGAACUGUAAGAUGAGUAUCGACCAGAAGUUGAGCUCUUCGAACUCUUGCCACCCAUUAACUUUAGGAAUUAAUAAUAUCAGUCUGCAGAAAAUAAUAUAUGCUUGCAUAAGAAACAAAAACCAUGUAAAAAGUUGUAGGCAUCUUUGUGUUAUUCAACGUGUAAGCAUCUAAAAUCUAAAGGAGUUAUUAAACGGUUAGCUCAAUUCCAUAGACACUUGUUGGGGCAAAAGGUAAAUAAUGGAAGCAUGGAUGAACCAUGGAUGCAGAUUCAACACAAGCAAUUAAAUUCUAAAUUUA